CCGACUGCUAUCAGAGUGGGAUUAAGCCAUGCGAGUCAACAUAGCAAUAUGUGGCAUACGGCUCAGUAACACGUAGUCAACAUGCCCAGGGGACGUGGAUAACCUCGGGAAACUGAGGAUAAACCGCGAUAGGUCAUCACUUCUGGAAUGGGUAAUGACUUAAAUCUAUAUGGCCCCUGGAUUGGACUGCGGCCGAUCAGGCUGUUGGUGAGGUAAUGGCCCACCAAACCUGUAACCGGUACGGGCUCUGAGAGGAGGAGCCCGGAGAUGGGCACUGAGACAAGGGCCCAGGCCCUAUGGGGCGCAGCAGGCGCGAAACCUCUGCAUUAGGCGAAAGCUUGACAGGGUUACUCUGAGUGAUUUCCGUUAAGGAGAUCUUUUGGCACCUCUAAAAAUGGUGCAGAAUAAGGGGUGGGCAAGUCUGGUGUCAGCCGCCGCGGUAAUACCAGCACCCCGAGUGGUCGGGACGUUUAUUGGGCCUAAAGCAUCCGUAGCCGGUUCUACAAGUCUUCCGUUAAAUCCACCUGCUCAACAGAUGGGCUGCGGAAGAUACUAUAGACCUAGGAGGCGGG
RNAcentral lists this ribosomal RNA (572 nucleotides) under uncultured archaeon. RNAcentral's name for it is "bacterial SSU rRNA". It matches the Rfam family "Archaeal small subunit ribosomal RNA", at positions 23 to 603 of the family's 1478-position model. The record is from RNAcentral.